RNAcentral lists this unclassified non-coding RNA (221 nucleotides) under Hevea brasiliensis (rubber tree). Lineage: Eukaryota; Viridiplantae; Streptophyta; Magnoliopsida; Malpighiales; Euphorbiaceae. The record is from RNAcentral.
GCUUUCCUCACAAGGAUAUGGUUUGAGUUUGACCAAAAAAAGUUUGCAUCACAGAUCAUCAUGUGGCUUGGUCUCGCAUGGCUUUAGAAGCCGGCACGUCCAUAUGUCUAUCACCCAAAAAACAAUACUUUAAAAUGGCUUUCCCUCGCUUGCCUUUAAACCGCCAUCAAAGCUCCCACAUGAUCCAACGAUGGCGAUGGCUUCAGAAUCAGCCAUCCAUG